CGGGGCCGGGCACUUCCGUCCGGCGCGCGGCGUCCUCCUCCCGCUCGGAAGGCUCCCCUGGCUCCAGCCCUAAGGUGCUCUCCCAGCCGUCUGACCUGGAUCUCCAAGACGUAGAGGAAGUGGAGAUCGGCAGAGACACCUUCUGGCCCGACUCCGAGCCCGAGCCGGAGCAGGCUCCACGCUCCCCCGGCUCUCAGGCCCCUGACGAGGGGGCGGGCGGGACGCUGCGCAGCCUCCUGAGGAGCCUUCCCCGCAGGGCCCGGUGCGGCGCCGGCUUCGGGCCUGAAUCCAGCGCGGAGCGGCCGGCGGGCCAGCCGCCUGGGGCCGUCCCUUGCGCCCAGCCGCGGGGCGCCUGGCGCGUGACACUCGUGCAGCAAGCUGCGGCCGGGCCCGAGGGUGCGUCCGAGCCGGCCGCCGAGCUGGGAGUCAACUUCG
This 435-nucleotide small RNA is filed under the name Pongo abelii (Sumatran orangutan). Its description in RNAcentral is "processed transcript". The record is from RNAcentral. Lineage: Eukaryota; Metazoa; Chordata; Mammalia; Primates; Hominidae.